Molecule: ribosomal RNA, 253 nt
Filed under: uncultured bacterium
Lineage: Bacteria
Description: partial 16S ribosomal RNA
Rfam family: Bacterial small subunit ribosomal RNA
Source: RNAcentral
UACGAAGGGGGCUAGCGUUGCUCGGAAUUACUGGGCGUAAAGCGCACGUAGGCGGAUCUUUAAGUCAGGGGUGAAAUCCUGGAGCUCAACUCCAGAACUGCCUUUGAUACUGAGGACCUUGAGUUCGGGAGAGGUGAGUGGAACUGCGAGUGUAGAGGUGAAAUUCGUAGAUAUUCGCAAGAACACCAGUGGCGAAGGCGGCUCACUGGUCCGGUACUGACGCUGAGGUGCGAAAGCGUGGGGAGCAAACAGG